Molecule: ribosomal RNA, 445 nt
Filed under: uncultured bacterium
Lineage: Bacteria
Description: bacterial SSU rRNA
Rfam family: Bacterial small subunit ribosomal RNA
Source: RNAcentral
CCCAGACUCCUACGGGAGGCAGCAGUGGGGAAUAUUGCACAAUGGGGGAAACCCUGAUGCAGCGACGCCGCGUGAGUGAAGAAGUAUUUCGGUAUGUAAAGCUCUAUCAGCAGGGAAGAAGUUGACGGUACCUGAGUAAGAAGCCCCGGCUAACUACGUGCCAGCAGCCGCGGUAAUACGUAGGUGGCAAGCGUUAUCCGGAUUUACUGGGUGUAAAGGGCGUGUAGGUGGGAAAGCAAGUCAGAUGUGAAAACCAUGGGCUCAACCUGUGGCCUGCAUUUGAAACUGUUUUUCUUGAGUACUGGAGAGGCAGACGGAAUUCCUAGUGUAGCGGUGAAAUGCGUAGAUAUUAGGAGGAACACCGGUGGCGAAGGCGGCCUGCUGGACUGUGACUGACGUUGAGGCCCGAAGGCGUGGGGAGCAAACAGGAUUAGAUCCCCGCGUA